GACGAACGCUGGCGGCGUGCUUAACACAUGCAAGUCGAACGGAAAGGCCCUGCUUUUGUGGGGUGCUCGAGUGGCGAACGGGUGAGUAACACGUGAGUAACCUGCCCUUGACUUUGGGAUAACGUCAGGAAACUGGGGCUAAUACCGGAUAGGAGCUCCUGCUGCAUGGUGGGGGUUGGAAAGUUUCGGCGGUUGGGGAUGGACUCGCGGCUUAUCAGCUUGUUGGUGGGGUAGUGGCUUACCAAGGCUUUGACGGGUAGCCGGCCUGAGAGGGUGACCGGCCACAUUGGGACUGAGAUACGGCCCCGACUCCUACGGGAGGCAGCAGUGGGGAAUAUUGCACAAUGGGCGGAAGCCUGAUGCAGCAACGCCGCGUGCGGGAUGACGGCCUUCGGGUUGUAAACCGCUUUCGCCUGUGACGAAGCGUGAGUGACGGUAAUGGGUAAAGAAGCACCGGCUAACUACGUG
This 468-nucleotide ribosomal RNA is filed under the name uncultured bacterium. RNAcentral describes it as "partial 16S ribosomal RNA". It matches the Rfam family "Bacterial small subunit ribosomal RNA", at positions 28 to 507 of the family's 1533-position model. The record is from RNAcentral.